GCCUUCGUGGUGCAACGGUUAGCGCACUCGACGCGCAUUCGAGAGGUCCAGGUUCGAAUCCCGCCGAGAGCA
This 72-nucleotide transfer RNA is filed under the name Stegodyphus mimosarum. It matches the Rfam family "tRNA". From Rfam's summary of the family: Transfer RNA (tRNA) molecules are approximately 80 nucleotides in length. Their secondary structure includes four short double-helical elements and three loops (D, anti-codon, and T loops). The record is from Rfam by way of RNAcentral. Lineage: Eukaryota; Metazoa; Arthropoda; Arachnida; Araneae; Eresidae.